This 31-nucleotide non-coding RNA is filed under the name Rattus norvegicus (Norway rat). The record is from RNAcentral. Lineage: Eukaryota; Metazoa; Chordata; Mammalia; Rodentia; Muridae.
UGAGCUAACGACCCGUUAUCAUUGCUCCAAA